Molecule: long non-coding RNA, 235 nt
Organism: Homalodisca vitripennis (glassy-winged sharpshooter)
Lineage: Eukaryota; Metazoa; Arthropoda; Insecta; Hemiptera; Cicadellidae
Exons: 3
Source: RefSeq, a predicted model, not a curated record
CUUGAAGGCUGGCUCAAAGAUCAUCGGUUGGAUAUCUAUGAUAGUGAGCAUUUACUUAAUACUAAUCUUUGGGUUGACUCUUUACUUCAUCCAAAUAUAUCCAGAGAGACUUUCUUCUGAUACCAAACUGAUAUAUGAUAACUUACCUGCACUGAGAGACGUUACCAUUAUGAUGAUAAUUCUUCAUGUCACUGGCUGUAUUAUGUCUUUGAUUCUUCUGAUUGGAGUAUAUCAG